Molecule: long non-coding RNA, 808 nt
Organism: Haplochromis burtoni (Burton's mouthbrooder)
Lineage: Eukaryota; Metazoa; Chordata; Actinopteri; Cichliformes; Cichlidae
Exons: 3
Source: RefSeq, a predicted model, not a curated record
UCAGAGCGUGAAACAGGUGGUGUGACCAGAGAGCUGUAGCACAAGAAAAACAAGUCAGUGAGUUCUGCAGCUGAAUGACAGCAUGGCAGCAGCAUCUGGACCACAAGACACUUUUCCCAGACGUCGCAGGAAGAGCUUUGAUUUUGUGCCCCCCCACAGUGAGUUUUUAAAGAAAAGAUUAUGUUUAAUGCAAACUUUAACUGGGCAAUUUAAGGUGGAAGACAUUAGACAGGAGCAGGUGAAGACAAAAUAUAGCAGGAAGUGUGAAGCCUGUUUGGAAUAAUGAAAACCUCUUAGUGCACGGAUCCUGCUUUCUCUCUUUACAUUUAAAGCUAAUGUAAUGUAUAGAAAAGUGAAAUAAACUAUUUUAUGUAAACUUUUGGGGGUCAUUUCUGGGAGAGGUUACAGCAAAUCAAAUGUCUCCUUAACUUCAUGUUAACAGAUCAAACAUUCAGGAUACCAGUGUUUAUGUAGCUCUAUGCCACAGACAUGAAGUUGGUGCAAUUUAUUGAAACUGUGAUGUAUCCUGUAGUAAUGAUGAUCAAAAGAGAUUAUAGAAAUAAAAUUGUGCCAAACAAGAAAAAAAAAUUGGUCUUCAGGUUCUGUGGAUUUAAAACUGAGCUUUUAACAGAGGUUAAGUUUAUUUUUCAACUCUCAAACUUUAUGUAGUAUUCUCACAUGUGAAUAUAUAUUUAUGGCUCAGUAAUGAUCCAUAAAUACGAGAAAAAAAUAACACAUAUUUAAACAAACUGACAAUUUUUGUGCAUUUUUCAGUAACUCAGUGGUUACAAGUGGAAAAUGAUUAAAA